GUUGCCAUAGCAACGUUUGAUUCAUCCGGGAAGCGACACCGCCGGCAUUUCACCUGAAACGACAUAAAUGACCUUAAUUUGAAGAAAUACUCGUUUAAAUGGUCUUUAUUUGGUCAAUUUUUCAUAGAAAAGGCUGACGAAUGAUGGCUGAUGCAAUAUCGCUUAUGAGCAGCACCAUGUCCACCAGUAAUCUGCCACCCCUGCGAAACCUGCCCAGCUGGUCCAGGGUUCGAGACCUGGACAGGGUGAGGUACCCCAGACUUCUUUCUAGUGACUAUAUGGUCAGAUCUCCACCUGUGGACAUCAGGAGCCCUAAAGCAGCGGCUCUGCCCAGGACAGAUGCACACGACACGCGCAUCACCUCUCUGGAGAAAGAUAUUCUGUUCCUCCAACAACAGCAUACAGACACACUGGAGAGACUGCAUGCAGAAAUGGAAGAUCUGAAGCGUGUUAAUAAAGAAUUACAGUAUCAGAUGGUUAUGGAACAUGAACAUUCUCCAAAAGAGUCCAGUCAUUCCUCAAAAUCCUGCAGUGAUGGUUCAGCCGAGAAGAAUUUCAGCUCAGAGGCGGGAAGAGGAGGUGCAGUCACAUCACUUCUGCCUCUCAGGAUCACCUGCGGUCUGUCCCAGCAUCCCCGAACCCCCACGCUGAAGGAGUGUGAGGGCAUCAUCCGGCAGCUCUAUCACGCCAACACCUCGCAGUAUCAGGAGCUGCUGCGGAUCAAGACGCUCCUCGGAGACAUCGCCUCCAAAAACAAAUCAUCCGCUGAAGUUUUCUCUCUCGCAAGAGCCUGCCUCUGUGACAACAGCAGGGGUGAAGUUUUCGAGCAUUUACCAAAACUACCUCUCAAACCACUGCCAAAGAAACAGCACCCGAGUCAAGCCGGUAAAGGAGAAACUGUGAUUCUACCAGCCAUCAAACGCAAUUCAGGCGGCACCAUGUCAGAGCGGCAGAGGAGAGCGCAGGACGUGCACAAAACACGCCUCAGAAGAACGGUGAACUCUUGACACCACUGAUGAUGAUGAUGAUGAUGAUGAAGUGGAACAUGACCUUUACGAGAUCUACACAUGAGGAAUGAGUGAGCGGCUGCUGAUCAUGUUUGAUUCCCUAAUGAACUACAUAAGAAUCUUUCCAGAGAAGCAGCCAAAUGUCAAAGUUGAGACGAGAGCUAAGCUGCCUGUCCUUCCAUCCACAGGAAGGUCCGUAAAGUCAGAGACAGAAACAGACACAAUGUAUACAUCAGAGCUUUUAAAUCAAAUCUCUCAUAAUAACUUUUUACCUUGAUUUGAUGUGUGACAUUUCCUUGAUAAUAAGUCUCUUUAAAUAAAUGCACCAGCAACAUAUUAUGA
This is an RNA transcript of Rhinichthys klamathensis goyatoka, 1349 nucleotides long. It is a transcript of the gene named coiled-coil domain-containing protein 74A, with no coding region annotated. Lineage: Eukaryota; Metazoa; Chordata; Actinopteri; Cypriniformes; Leuciscidae. The record is from RefSeq and is a predicted model, not a curated record. The transcript has 9 exons.